UACGUAGGGUGCGAGCGUUGUCCGGAAUUAUUGGGCGUAAAGGGCUCGUAGGCGGUUUGCCGCGUCGGGAGUGAAAUCCACUGGCUUAACUGGUGGCUUGCUUUCGAUACGGGCAGACUGGAGGUAUGCAGGGGAGAACGGAAUUCCUGGUGUAGCGGUGAAAUGCGUAGAUAUCCGGAGGAACACCGGUGGCGAAGGCGGCUUCCUGGACCGACACUGACGCUGAGGCGCGAAAGCUAGGGGAGCAAACGGG
Molecule: ribosomal RNA, 253 nt
Filed under: uncultured bacterium
Lineage: Bacteria
Description: partial 16S ribosomal RNA
Rfam family: Bacterial small subunit ribosomal RNA
Source: RNAcentral